RNAcentral lists this ribosomal RNA (237 nucleotides) under Triticum aestivum (bread wheat). RNAcentral's name for it is "partial small subunit ribosomal RNA". Lineage: Eukaryota; Viridiplantae; Streptophyta; Magnoliopsida; Poales; Poaceae. The record is from RNAcentral.
AUGUAUCCGGCGGGCCGGCGCACACCCUUCCCUCCACCAGCCCGAGCGCCCCGCUGGCGUGCCUCCAGCACUGGCUCUACGCGGCGUAGCAGUCCACUCCUUCCCACGCCGCCCACACCCUCCCAUCUACCGGAUCAGGUCGCGGCUCCCCUCGUGCUCCUAUCUUCCUCCCCUCCGGCAGCUCCACUCCAGCCCCAGCGGAAACACUCCUCUGGCUCAAAAGAUCCAUGGAGGUGA